GGUCACAAACGCCCGCCCUUCUGCCUGCCCCUCGUCUGGCUCUGCGUUUCUCCUCAGCAUGUUGUCACCUGACACGCUGUGGACUCGAUUUGAUUUGUGCGUCCUCAUUCUGUCCUCGCUAGGAUGGAGGUUCCACGAGAACAGGGCUUUCCUCUGGCUGCUGACGACGGAGCUCCCGGCACCUGCACGAGUGCGUGGCGCGUGGGAGCAGGUGUGCGCUGAGUGCUCGGUGCAGUUGCUGGCAGCGCGUGCACGUCCGCAGCUGUGAGCGUAGCUCUAGCAGUGUAGACACCUGGGAAAGUCGGGGCCCAAUCAGUGAGCUGCUCCUGCCCCUCAUCCGCUCCAAAUUUUGAGUCUGUGUCACCCACUUUGCAGCUUUUCCAUCUACUCUGAUAGAAUCGUCUCGAUAGGACAAUGCCUAUUCCUGUUCUGAGCCUAAGUUCUAUCUCCUGCAUGGGUCACAAAGCCGAGCCCCUGGCCACUGAGGCCUCCCCGUUCGCCUCCCAGAGGCCGCCACUUUCUUCAGGGCUAUCAGAUGAAGGCAGCAACGAAAACACCACCACAAGACCAACUUCAGGCUGGAGCUGAUGAUGCCACACAGCGAGAAAAAAGAAAAUAGACUCUACUUAGAAAUGAAACUCAACUAAAGGUAAAAGUUGUCAGGAACAUCUCCAAGAAAGCCAGAGUCAGCCUCUAAACUUUGCAUCAAGAACGCAAUGGCUUCCCUGAGGGCCCAGGGACGCGUGGCAGCUGUGAGGCAGCCCCUUCUCUGCUGUCGAGGAACUGGACACUUCUCCUGUCCCUUCCCACAAGAUAUAAAAGAUUCAGGACGUAGUGCUCGUGGUUGGGGUCGGGGACAUGGCAAGACAGGAGCGGAAGAGAGAGACGGAGAAGACGCAGGGGAACUGCAUCUGCCUCUGCUGCUCAGGAACAGCGUUGAGACCGGCGCAGGGACCAUGGGUGGGAGAGUCCUGAUGUACUCAAUGUAUAAUAUUAGGCAGAAACCCAAUAUAAAAAGAAAAGCAGAGUUGUUGUAGAUUCAUCGAGGGUUGGCGACCUGGUUCCAAUGAGCCAUCUCCCUGUUCCGACAGGGGCUUCCUGGAGCUCCUGCAACCCCAGGCAUUAGUUCCGGUGCAGUUCUAGGAUCAGAUCAAUUCACUCGACAACAAGAGAAACAAAUGGAGAUUCCUACACAAAGACUUUCAAGCACAAAGAAAUCCUGCUGCCUGUAAAGCGGAGCUGCCUCAGCCCUUGAUGAACGACAGAAAAUACCACCUACUGCCAGACCUCAACGCCUCACAAAACUCUCACCCACCUACUGCUUUUAGCUCACAUUCCAGGAAUUCAGAUGAAGUGAAGUGCUCUCAUGGGGACCAGGCAUGGUUAUGCCAGUCCACUGCCCUGCAAGCCUCAAGGGAAGCCAACUGCCCUUCAGCAAGUCACACCUGCCUUGGUGGAGGCCUUGAUUGGAAGUGCCACACGCUACAUGUCCAGUCCUGAGCGGGAGAAUCGGUGUAGGGACGUUCUGGGGAUGCCAGCUGUGGCCAGAUCAGGUCCAACUACAGAAGAAUAAUGAAGACUCCACCUGAGGGCUGGAAAAACAAAACCUCAAGUGUGAGGCAGCCAACCUGUUACCUCGAGGGACUGUUCCGCAGCACAGCGGGGCCAUGGGAACAGCAGCAGACACCCCGACCUCCUCGCUACCUGUAUCAACUAUGGCCUGAGUAUGAUAGACUUAUCCAUGGUUUAAACAGAAUAUAUUGUUUUCAACUUUGAAAAUAAGAAUAUGGAAAUCCAGAUGCAGAAAUGUGAGAAGAAAAGAGAGUAAACAGAGUGGAAGGUCAGGUGACCUUGCCUGUCAUGAAUAUGAAGGUCAAGGCCCCACUGUGAGACGUGAAUGUGCCUGGAUUUCGGUAUCUGCUGGAACCAGUCCCACGCUAUACCAAGGGAUGACUGCACACCUAUUUCUGAUGACUGGAGAACUCCAAGGGGUUCGUCUUGACAAUACCAUUAACUUAAAAAUUCAAUAAAGAUUAACAAAUCGGUGGUACACUC
This 2055-nucleotide long non-coding RNA is filed under the name Homo sapiens (human). RNAcentral describes it as "HSALNT0299722". The record is from RNAcentral. Lineage: Eukaryota; Metazoa; Chordata; Mammalia; Primates; Hominidae.